AUGAACGCUGGCGGCGUGCUUAAUACAUGCAAGUCGAACGAAGACAGUAGCAAUAUUGUCUGAGUGGCGAACGGGUGAGUAACGCGUUGGUGACCUGCCCCGAAGAGAGGGAUAACAGUCCGAAAGGAUUGCUAAUACCCCAUGUGGUCAUUUGGAUUAGAUGCCUUAUGACUAAACGGAUUUAUUCGCUUCGGGAGGGGCCUGCGUCCCAUCAGCUAGUUGGUAAGGUAAUGGCUUACCAAGGCGAUGACGGGUAGGGGACCUGAGAGGGUGGCCCCCCACAAUGGAACUGAAACACGGUCCAUACACCUACGGGUGGCAGCAGUAGGGAAUAUUGGUUAAUCUGGGAAACCGGGAACCAGCAACGCCGCGUGCACGAUGAAGGCCUUCGGGUUGUAAAGCACUUUUCGGGAGGAUGAGGAAGGACGGUACUCCCGGAAUAAGUCUCGGCUAACUACGU
RNAcentral lists this ribosomal RNA (460 nucleotides) under uncultured bacterium. RNAcentral describes it as "bacterial SSU rRNA". It matches the Rfam family "Bacterial small subunit ribosomal RNA", at positions 29 to 506 of the family's 1533-position model. The record is from RNAcentral.